UUUCAUUGAUGGCUUGUUUCUCAAAACAUGCAGUUGCCGCCUUAGAGCUUUUGCCCUGCCAGGCUUGAGAGCUAAUGCUGUAAUUCCUUCCUUGGAUGUUGGAG
Molecule: non-coding RNA, 104 nt
Organism: Triticum urartu
Lineage: Eukaryota; Viridiplantae; Streptophyta; Magnoliopsida; Poales; Poaceae
Source: Rfam